RNAcentral lists this transfer RNA (66 nucleotides) under human oral metagenome. It matches the Rfam family "tRNA". From Rfam's summary of the family: Transfer RNA (tRNA) molecules are approximately 80 nucleotides in length. Their secondary structure includes four short double-helical elements and three loops (D, anti-codon, and T loops). Further hydrogen bonds mediate the characteristic L-shaped molecular structure. tRNAs have two regions of fundamental functional importance: the anti-codon, which is responsible for specific mRNA codon recognition, and the 3' end, to which the tRNAs corresponding amino acid is attached (by aminoacyl-tRNA synthetases). tRNAs cope with the degeneracy of the genetic code in two manners: having more than one tRNA (with a specific anti-codon) for a particular amino acid; and 'wobble' base-pairing, i.e. permitting non-standard base-pairing at the 3rd anti-codon position. The record is from RNAcentral.
GGCAUAGCUCAGUUGGUAGAGCACAGGUCUCCAAAACCUGGUGUCGGGGGUUCGAAUCCCUCUGCC